CAGUCGAGGGGCAGCAUUUCAGUUUGCUUGCAAACUGGAGAUGGCGACCGGCGCACGGGUGAGUAACACGUAUCCAACCUGCCGAUAACUCGGGGAUAGCCUUUCGAAAGAAAGAUUAAUACCCGAUAGUAUAAUGAAACCGCAUGGUCUUAUUAUUAAAGAAUUUCGGUUAUCGAUGGGGAUGCGUUCCAUUAGGCAGUUGGUGAGGUAACGGCUCACCAAACCUUCGAUGGAUAGGGGUUCUGAGAGGAAGGUCCCCCACAUUGGAACUGAGACACGGUCCAAACUCCUACGGGAGGCAGCAGUGAGGAAUAUUGGUCAAUGGGCGCAGGCCUGAACCAGCCAAGUAGCGUGAAGGAUGACUGCCCUAUGGGUUGUAAACUUCUUUUAUAUGGGAAUAAAGUUUUCCACGUGUGGAAUUUUGUAUGUACCAUAUGAAUAAGGAUCGGCUAACUCCGUGCCAGCAGCCGCGGUAAUACGGAGGAUCCGAGCGUUAUCCGGAUUUAUUGGGUUUAAAGGGAGCGUAGGUGGACAGUUAAGUCAGUUGUGAAAGUUUGCGGCUCAACCGUAAAAUUGCAGUUGAUACUGGCUGUCUUGAGUACAGUAGAGGUGGGCGGAAUUCGUGGUGUAGCGGUGAAAUGCUUAGAUAUCACGAAGAACUCCGAUUGCGAAGGCAGCUCACUGGACUGCAACUGACACUGAUGCUCGAAAGUGUGGGUAUCA
This 723-nucleotide ribosomal RNA is filed under the name uncultured bacterium. RNAcentral describes it as "bacterial SSU rRNA". It matches the Rfam family "Bacterial small subunit ribosomal RNA", at positions 59 to 770 of the family's 1533-position model. The record is from RNAcentral.